Molecule: ribosomal RNA, 490 nt
Filed under: uncultured bacterium
Lineage: Bacteria
Description: partial 16S ribosomal RNA
Rfam family: Bacterial small subunit ribosomal RNA
Source: RNAcentral
AUUGAACGCUGGCGGCAUGCUUUACACAUGCAAGUCGAACGGCAGCGGGGUAGUGCUUGCACUACUGCCGGCGAGUGGCGAACGGGGGAGUAAUAUAUCGGAACGUACCGAGUAAUGGGGGAUAACCAAUCGAAAGAUUGGCUAAUACCGCAUACAUCCUGUGGGAGAAAGCGGGGGAUCGCAACACCUCUCGUUCUUCGAGCUGCCGAUAACUUAUUAGCUAGUUGGUGGGGUAAAGGCCUACCAAGGCGACGAUCAGUAGCGGGUCUGAGAGGACGAUCCGCCACACUGGGACUGAGACACGGCCCAGACUCCUACGGGAGGCAGCAGUGGGGAAUUUUGGACAAUGGGGGCAACCCUGAUCCAGCCAUGCCGCGUGUAUGAAGAAGGCCUUCGGGUUGUAAAGUACUUUUGUUAGGGAAGAAAAGGGAAGUGCUAAUACCACUUUUUGCUGACGGUACCUAAAGAAUAAGCACCGGCUAACUACGUG